UACGAAGGGUGCAAGCGUUGUUCGGAUUUAUUGGGCGUAAAGCGCGCGCAGGCGGAUCAGCAAGUCAGAUGUGAAAUCUCAGGGCUCAACCCUGAAACUGCGUCUGAAACUGCUAGUCUAGAAUAUUGGAGGGGGCAGGGGAAUUUCACGUGUAGGGGUAAAAUCCGUAGAGAUGUGAAGGAACACCGGAGGCGAAGGCGCCUGCCUGGACAAUACUUGACGCUGAGGCGCGAAAGCGUGGGGAGCAAAC
Molecule: ribosomal RNA, 250 nt
Filed under: uncultured bacterium
Lineage: Bacteria
Description: partial 16S ribosomal RNA
Rfam family: Bacterial small subunit ribosomal RNA
Source: RNAcentral